CAUCGCCCGUCACUCUCGUUAAGUUUAAGGCGAGAUAAGUCGUAACAAAGUAGUUGUACCGGAAGGUGUAGCUA
RNAcentral lists this ribosomal RNA (74 nucleotides) under Schultesia lampyridiformis. Its description in RNAcentral is "12S ribosomal RNA". The record is from RNAcentral. Lineage: Eukaryota; Metazoa; Arthropoda; Insecta; Blattodea; Blaberidae.